This 1373-nucleotide ribosomal RNA is filed under the name uncultured bacterium. RNAcentral's name for it is "bacterial SSU rRNA". It matches the Rfam family "Bacterial small subunit ribosomal RNA", at positions 28 to 1381 of the family's 1533-position model. The record is from RNAcentral.
GAUGAACGCUGGCGGCGUGCCUAAUACAUGCAAGUCGAGCGAACGGACGAGAAGCUUGCUUCUCUGAUGUUAGCGGCGGACGGGUGAGUAACACGUGGAUAACCUACCUAUAAGACUGGGAUAACUUCGGGAAACCGGAGCUAAUACCGGAUAAUAUUUUGAACCGCAUGGUUCAAAAGUGAAAGACGGUCUUGCUGUCACUUAUAGAUGGAUCCGCGCUGCAUUAGCUAGUUGGUAAGGUAACGGCUUACCAAGGCAACGAUGCAUAGCCGACCUGAGAGGGUGAUCGGCCACACUGGAACUGAGACACGGUCCAGACUCCUACGGGAGGCAGCAGUAGGGAAUCUUCCGCAAUGGGCGAAAGCCUGACGGAGCAACGCCGCGUGAGUGAUGAAGGUCUUCGGAUCGUAAAACUCUGUUAUUAGGGAAGAACAUAUGUGUAAGUAACUGUGCACAUCUUGACGGUACCUAAUCAGAAAGCCACGGCUAACUACGUGCCAGCAGCCGCGGUAAUACGUAGGUGGCAAGCGUUAUCCGGAAUUAUUGGGCGUAAAGCGCGCGUAGGCGGUUUUUUAAGUCUGAUGUGAAAGCCCACGGCUCAACCGUGGAGGGUCAUUGGAAACUGGAAAACUUGAGUGCAGAAGAGGAAAGUGGAAUUCCAUGUGUAGCGGUGAAAUGCGCAGAGAUAUGGAGGAACACCAGUGGCGAAGGCGACUUUCUGGUCUGUAACUGACGCUGAUGUGCGAAAGCGUGGGGAUCAAACAGGAUUAGAUACCCUGGUAGUCCACGCCGUAAACGAUGAGUGCUAAGUGUUAGGGGGUUUCCGCCCCUUAGUGCUGCAGCUAACGCAUUAAGCACUCCGCCUGGGGAGUACGACCGCAAGGUUGAAACUCAAAGGAAUUGACGGGGACCCGCACAAGCGGUGGAGCAUGUGGUUUAAUUCGAAGCAACGCGAAGAACCUUACCAAAUCUUGACAUCCUUUGACAACUCUAGAGAUAGAGCCUUCCCCUUCGGGGGGGCAAAGUGACAGGUGGUGCAUGGUUGUCGUCAGCUCGUGUCGUGAGAUGUUGGGUUAAGUCCCGCAACGAGCGCAACCCUUAAGCUUAGUUGCCAUCAUUAAGUUGGGCACUCUAAGUUGACUGCCGGUGACAAACCGGAGGGAGGUGGGGAUGACGUCAAAUCAUCAUGCCCCUUAUGAUUUGGGCUACACACGUGCUACAAUGGACAAUACAAAGGGCAGCGAAACCGCGAGGUCAAGCAAAUCCCAUAAAGUUGUUCUCAGUUCGGAUUGUAGUCUGCAACUCGACUACAUGAAGCUGGAAUCGCUAGUAAUCGUAGAUCAGCAUGCUACGGUGAAUACGUUCCCGGGUCU